RNAcentral lists this ribosomal RNA (769 nucleotides) under uncultured bacterium. Its description in RNAcentral is "bacterial SSU rRNA". It matches the Rfam family "Bacterial small subunit ribosomal RNA", at positions 66 to 843 of the family's 1533-position model. The record is from RNAcentral.
GGUAUAGGUUUUCGGACCUAGAGACCGGCGCACGGGUGCGUAACGCGUAUGCAAUCUACCUUUUACAGAGGGAUAGCCCAGAGAAAUUUGGAUUAAUACCUCAUAGUAUUAUUGAAUGGCAUCAUUUAAUAAUUAAAGUCACAACGGUAAAAGAUGAGCAUGCGUCCCAUUAGCUAGUUGGUAAGGUAACGGCUUACCAAGGCAACGAUGGGUAGGGGUCCUGAGAGGGAGAUCCCCCACACUGGUACUGAGACACGGACCAGACUCCUACGGGAGGCAGCAGUGAGGAAUAUUGGUCAAUGGGCGCAAGCCUGAACCAGCCAUGCCGCGUGCAGGAUGAAGCAUCUAUGGUGUGUAAACUGCUUUUGUACGAGAAGAGACACUCCUUCGUGAAGGAGCUUGACGGUAUCGUAAGAAUAAGGACCGGCUAACUCCGUGCCAGCAGCCGCGGUAAUACGGAGGGUCCAAGCGUUAUCCGGAAUCAUUGGGUUUAAAGGGUCCGUAGGCGGUUUUGUAAGUCAGUGGUGAAAGCCCAUCGCUCAACGGUGGAACGGCCAUUGAUACUGCAAGACUUGAAUUAUUAGGAAGUAACUAGAAUAUGUAGUGUAGCGGUGAAAUGCUUAGAUAUUACAUGGAAUACCAAUUGCGAAGGCAGGUUACUACUAAUAUAUUGACGCUGAUGGACGAAAGCGUGGGGAGCGAACAGGAUUAGAUACCCUGGUAGUCCACGCCGUAAACGAUGGAUACUAGCUGUUCGGAGCAAUCUGAG